Tachyglossus aculeatus (Australian echidna) is the source of this 138-nucleotide small nucleolar RNA. NCBI's taxonomy places the organism in Eukaryota, Metazoa, Chordata, Mammalia, Monotremata, Tachyglossidae. The record is from RefSeq and is a predicted model, not a curated record.
UCCCUCUCAGUAUCGCACCUGGAAAAUUUCCAGUAUACUACCAGUCUCGGCUAUGGGAGGGAUAGUCAAGCAGAGGCAUACCCAUUCCAAUCCUAGCUUGGGCAGUGGAUAGCAAGUGGAAGGUACUCUGCUACAAGU